Molecule: long non-coding RNA, 594 nt
Filed under: Sorghum bicolor (sorghum)
Lineage: Eukaryota; Viridiplantae; Streptophyta; Magnoliopsida; Poales; Poaceae
Description: long non-coding RNA (SBIC_LNC011332)
Source: RNAcentral
CUCGCUGCAGGGCUAAGUCCCUAACUCUCCCCGCCUCAGCGACACUCGUGCGGAGGACAGCCGCCGAAGCCUCGGCAUCUUCCUUAUCCUUCUUCAAGGCCUCCGACCCAGCCUUUAAAUCAUCCCUCUCCUUCCUCAGGGACUCAAUUUCCUGUCGGGCAGAGGAAAGCUCCUUAACAUCCUCCGACAGGCGAGCCUUCUCGGCCUCUAAAUUUUCGUUUUCCUCCUUAAGAGCACCAAUAGCCUCGUCCCGGCAAAUAAUCUCCCGGGAGCAUCGCUCCUCCAAGGCCGCAGCCAUGUGGUGACUCUGCAAAACGCAAACAAUCAAACCUUCGAACAAAAAACGCGAAGGAAAAACACACAAUUGGAAAACUUACAAGGCUAUGGUGCUCAAAUUGCACGCGAAGGAAGGCGUCAAAGUCCAUAUGACGAAGCUUCUGGCGGAGACGAUCUAGAUAGCAAAAGAGGUAAGGAAAAACAUAAGUAAAUUAAAGAAAAAUCAUCAACAGCGGAGGCCAGAAACGAACCUCCGACCAAAGAAUGAACCUCGCGCAGUGCAUCGGUCCAACCUGUGAUCGAAGGAUCAGAAGCACC